AAAAAGUAAAGAAAUUAAGCUUAAGAAAAUUAUGUGGCAGCUCACACAAAGGUAUGUUUUCUCUGCAGUAUGCAUGUCUGGUGCACUUCAGGGUCUCUUUCAGCAUAAACUGCAGUGUUCUUUAAUCUUCUAGGGAGCUGCUACACAACUUCUCAUUGCUCACGAGAACUAAAAGGAAGAUUCUCUACCAGAGAAAAAGAUGCACUGCCAGAACAAGAAUGAAGAUUCAGCAGAGACAAAGAUGAAUUACCAAAGGAGGAAGAUUACAUGACUUGAAAUGGGAAAGUAUUAUAAAUACGAAAAAGGUAUAAGUAAAUAACAAACCUAAAAGAACUUAGCCAUUAAAACAAAAAACUCAUUGACCUAAAACCACCGUUAAGUUUUGAAAAAAAUUUCAGAAGAGUUAUAUAUGGCCAGUCUAUAGUGACAAAUGAAAGUGUCCAUUCGUAAUUGCCCUGUGGUGCCAACUCUUCUCUUCAGUAGAAGUUUGGUUCCAGUUAGGUGUCAUCUUCAUCCUUCCUCUGAGUUGAGCAGUAGCAGCCUGUAAUGUUAGAACUAGUGAACUCUAGCCCAGAUCACCACUUGACAGUACAGAACUGCACAGAUGAUUAACUUAAAUCUACCUAGGAUGAGGUAUUUAAAAAGCUCCUCUAUUCCAUCUUCUGUGUCAGAAUUCGAUCUGACGAGACUAUUGCUAUAGCCAUACAGGCAUCAGACUUAUGGCAUUGUGCUGGAAAAUCACAUUUGACCCUGGAGGUAAGCACUUAAAUUAACAAUCUAUUUCCACAGAGUUGGGUGACACAUUUGAAAAAAAAAACACAGUUUAAGUUGUCUGUAUCAGUUCCUCUGGGACCACCCUGCAUUUCCUGGCCUUCUUACAAGACCAAUACCUGUUAAGUUAUGUGCAUGUGUCCUAUGACUUCCUGAAGCAAGGCAGUGCAGCAGCUGAGAGGAGGCUCUGUUGAGCAAAAUCAGUAAUUCAUGUUUAGUAGCCAAGUUAUUUCUCAAAGCAUAUUCUGAUUUGCUAACUAUAAAUUGCAACUUUAGCUAAUAAAAAUAUGCAGUGACACUUGGCAUUAGACUAGAGAUACCUCUCAGCAGAUUUUCCAGGUCAAUUAUUUGUCUCCGCUUACCAGUAUUUUUGCUAACUGUAUUCUCUUGCCAUCUUUUAAGUUGUUGUUGAAAAGGACCACUGGUGGUCAGCUAGACUGACCUCCUGCUUUAAAUGUGAACAUUUCAAAGCCUUCUCAGGUGAUAGCUGACCACCAUUAUAGCCAAAAUGAUCCAAUUUUAACCUCUUUCAGCAUGAACAUGGUGUUUCAUUACAAUCAACCUGGUCUCCCACAUAAUAAUCUGUUAUAUCAAUCAUCUGACAGUUCCAAGAAGAGCUUGGCUCUGCUUUAGCUGUACUACCCUUCCAACAGCUGCAGGCUGCUCCUAGCUCUCUCCUGAGCUUCUUCCUUGCCAGACUGAGUGAGCUGAACUUUCUCACUGUUUCAUUUAUUUAUCAUCUCAGGCUGUUCAAUAGCUUUCAUGUGCUUCUACUUGCACAGGGAAUUGUUCUUUGAAUUUCUUCCCAGUCUUUUCUUCUUCCUUUGUGUUCUUCAACAUAUCAAACAUAAAAAUUACUUUAGUCUUCUGUAUUAUUCUUGCAAGAUUUCCAUUCUUGCCUUUCAUGGAGGACAACUGUAAAGAACAAUUAGAUGUUAUCAUAAUGUUUCGUCACUAAAAAUUCUAGAACCUCAACUAUUUACUUCUUCAUGUUGCUAAAACAACUUCUUUGCUCUUUUAUAGGGAUCACUAACGAGAGUUAGUCAUUUAAGCAAGCACACAAAGCAUACACACCUUUGGAAGUCAAUGCAAUAUCACUGAUUAAUGCUUUUCUAAUGUUGAAACAAACAACUGAAUCCACAUUUAGCCAGUGUGUUUUAAAAACUACCCUAGAUGCUUAUUUCACUGUAGGUAAACUGAAAGGAUGAAUUGCUUUCUGGUAGUUGAAUUUGGUAUUUCUGUAGACACUCCAAGAAAAAGGGGUAUAAGCCCCAUGGAAAUGUGGAUUUCAAAUGCACACAAUCUACAGAACAGGGCUUUUGAUUUUUUUUUUUUAUUAUUUAAAGCUAAUUAGGAGGUGAGGCUGCAAUCCACCUUACUUCUUGUUGCUGUGAAAGUAGACUAAAAUCAUUUAACUCACCAAUUGCACGUUUAACUCACCAAUUG
This 2217-nucleotide long non-coding RNA is filed under the name Gallus gallus (chicken). RNAcentral's name for it is "lncRNA (ENSGALG00010026615.1)". Lineage: Eukaryota; Metazoa; Chordata; Aves; Galliformes; Phasianidae. The record is from RNAcentral.